UACAGAGGUGGCAAGCGUUGUUCGGAAUUACUGGGCGUAAAGGGCGCGUAGGCGGUUCGAUAAGUCCCGUGUGAAAUCCCUCGGCUCAACUGAGGAAUGGCACGGGAAACUGACGGGCUUGAGUUCGGGAGAGGGAAGCGGAAUUCCGGGUGUAGCGGUGAAAUGCGUAGAGAUCAGGAAGAACACCGGUGGCGAAAGCGUUCUGCUAGACCUGUACUGACACUGAGGGACGAAAGCUAGGGGAGCGAAUGGG
RNAcentral lists this ribosomal RNA (253 nucleotides) under uncultured bacterium. Its description in RNAcentral is "partial 16S ribosomal RNA". It matches the Rfam family "Bacterial small subunit ribosomal RNA", at positions 524 to 776 of the family's 1533-position model. The record is from RNAcentral.